UAGCUCAGUGGUAGAGCACUUGCCUAGCAUGUGCAAGGCUCUGGGUUCAAUUCCCAG
This 57-nucleotide transfer RNA is filed under the name Mesocricetus auratus (golden hamster). It matches the Rfam family "tRNA", at positions 8 to 63 of the family's 71-position model. Rfam says of the family: Transfer RNA (tRNA) molecules are approximately 80 nucleotides in length. Their secondary structure includes four short double-helical elements and three loops (D, anti-codon, and T loops). Further hydrogen bonds mediate the characteristic L-shaped molecular structure. tRNAs have two regions of fundamental functional importance: the anti-codon, which is responsible for specific mRNA codon recognition, and the 3' end, to which the tRNAs corresponding amino acid is attached (by aminoacyl-tRNA synthetases). tRNAs cope with the degeneracy of the genetic code in two manners: having more than one tRNA (with a specific anti-codon) for a particular amino acid; and 'wobble' base-pairing, i.e. permitting non-standard base-pairing at the 3rd anti-codon position. Lineage: Eukaryota; Metazoa; Chordata; Mammalia; Rodentia; Cricetidae. The record is from Rfam by way of RNAcentral.